Molecule: ribosomal RNA, 508 nt
Filed under: uncultured bacterium
Lineage: Bacteria
Description: partial 16S ribosomal RNA
Rfam family: Bacterial small subunit ribosomal RNA
Source: RNAcentral
GACGAACGCUGGCGGCGUGCCUAAUACAUGCAAGUCGAACGCUUCUUUCCUCCCGAGUGCUUGCAUUCAAUUGGAAAGAGGAGUGGCGGACGGGUGAGUAACACGUGGGUAACCUACCCAUCAGAGGGGGAUAACACUUGGAAACAGGUGCUAAUACCGCAUAACAGUUUAUGCCGCAUGGCAUAAGAGUGAAAGGCGCUUUCGGGUGUCGUUGAUGGAUGGACCCGCGGUGCAUUAGCUAGUUGGUGAGGUAACGGCUCACCAAGGCCACGAUGCAUAGCCGACCUGAGAGGGUGAUCGGCCACCCUGGGACUGAGACACGGCCCAGACUCCUACGGGAGGCAGCAGUAGGGAAUCUUCGGCAAUGGACGAAAGUCUGACCGAGCAACGCCGCGUGAGUGAAGAAGGUUUUCGGAUCGUAAAACUCUGUUGUUAGAGAAGAACAAGGACGUUAGUAACUGAACGUCCCCUGACGGUAUCUAACCAGAAAGCCACGGCUAACUACGUG